UACGGCUACAUCACAUUGAAACACCGGUUUCCGUACGAUCAGCAAAGUUAAGCAACAUCGAGCCUGGUCAAUACCUAGAUGAGUGACCGUUUGGGAAUACCAGGUGCUGU
This is a non-coding RNA of Acanthosepion pharaonis, 110 nucleotides long. Lineage: Eukaryota; Metazoa; Mollusca; Cephalopoda; Sepiida; Sepiidae. The record is from the annotation of a GenBank genome assembly.